GAUGAACGCUGGCGGCGUGCCUAAUACAUGCAAGUCGAGCGAACAGACGAGGAGCUUGCUCCUUUGACGUUAGCGGCGGACGGGUGAGUAACACGUAGGUAACCUACCUAUAAGACUGGGAUAACUUCGGGAAACCGGAGCUAAUACCGGAUAAUAUUUCGAACCGCAUGGUUCGAUAGUGAAAGAUGGCUUUGCUAUCACUUAUAGAUGGACCUGCGCCGUAUUAGCUAGUUGGUAAGGUAACGGCUUACCAAGGCAACGAUACGUAGCCGACCUGAGAGGGGGAUCGGCAACACUGGAACUAGGCACCGGUCCAACCUCCUACGGGGGGCAGCAGUAGGGAACCUUCCGCAAUGGGCGAAAGCCUACCGGACCACCGCCGCGUGAGUGAUAAAGGUCUUCGGAUCGUAAAACCCUGUUAUUAGGGAGGAACAAACGUGUAGGUAACGGUGAAGGUCUUGCCGGUACCUAAUCAAAAAGCACGGCUAACUACGUG
RNAcentral lists this ribosomal RNA (496 nucleotides) under uncultured bacterium. Its description in RNAcentral is "partial 16S ribosomal RNA". It matches the Rfam family "Bacterial small subunit ribosomal RNA", at positions 28 to 507 of the family's 1533-position model. The record is from RNAcentral.